CCCACUUCGGUCUCUCCCUCAGUUGCCGCUUCCACGUAUGAGGCGUUCUGCCACGUGAGGUCGGCCACACUUAGAGGAGACCUCCCGCCAUCACUGGUAAGUGUGGUGGUGUCUUCCCAGUGCUCCUGGUCUCAUCAGUACUGGGUUGCUCUCAUAAGUGUGUCUUUGGCGCUGUGUGUGUUUGUGGGCGGUUGCUUAUCCG
Molecule: non-coding RNA, 202 nt
Organism: Pelobates cultripes (western spadefoot toad)
Lineage: Eukaryota; Metazoa; Chordata; Amphibia; Anura; Pelobatidae
Source: the annotation of a GenBank genome assembly